CACAUAAGGUUGCGCACAGUUCUUUUGCACACCCCUUCCACGCCUACAUACACACAUACACACGGGGGGUGCAAGAGGGAGAGGGGCUUUCGGCUCCUCUUCUUUCCCUCUCCCGCACCCACCCCGCCGGAUAGCAUGCGUGGAAGGAGUAUCCCGCGCUCCAUCGCCUUAUCAGUGAAGUGCCGUAUAUCAUUAUAUUUCUUUUAAUACUUCGCUUUAAUCUAUCUUUUACUUUGACCAAAUUUGUUAUACAUUGACAAAGUGCAUGACUACCAACACUAUCUUUUUGACGAAAGAUCUAUAUUUUCUGAAGCCACAUUUCUGCCGCCAUUAGCUCUUUUCCUUUUUUUUCUUUUUUCUUUGUAAAGUUGUUUCCCUCUAUAAUCUAGCAUGUCCAUUCAUGACUCGAGAGGGUCUACUCUCUCUCAAACCACUCCUGUAAUUCUAAACACUGCUAAAAAAAACUAUUAUUUUGCAUGCCCUCUUAUCGAAUGACGAAAAAUCUCUGAAUCUUAUUUCAUCUGCUUUCUCUCCUUUUUCCGAAUUUGGUGACGACGAUAAGAUGGAAUUCCAGAAUGACGACGAUGAUGCAUCUAAUAACAAUUUCUCUUAAAACAUCGGCAAAAAAACGCAAAGCUGAGGAAUCUAGUGACAAAAUACUUUCAGCAAAUAAGCAAAAUAACACGCCAUCAAGUGAAUUUGACGUCCUUGAAAGAGAAUAUUGGAAAGAGGCAUUAUCCGCAAUGUAUCUUUGGACCUCUCUGACAAUGAGAUUCAAAAUAUCGAUUUCACAAUUCCGAUCACCUCGAUCAAGCGAUCGAACAGAAAAACCCUCUUUUUUUAGUUUUGACCCUCUGUGCUAUGUGAGUUGUGUGUGUAUGUGUGUGCGUGCGUGUGUAUGUACGUGCGCACGUACAUAAUUUUGAAUUUCUAAUCGCAAAAAAAUCUGUACAUAUUGAUUAUGUGAAGUAUUCAAUAUCAGUAAAUCUCCGAAAUAGUAUCUUACUCAAAGCUCAAUUUCUGAAUUAUCUAGUUUUUUAUAACAUUUUGUAUAUUUUUUUCUCUAAAGAGACCAACUUUUUUUU
Long non-coding RNA from Nylanderia fulva, 1085 nucleotides. RefSeq lists it as uncharacterized. The record is from RefSeq and is a predicted model, not a curated record. NCBI's taxonomy places the organism in Eukaryota, Metazoa, Arthropoda, Insecta, Hymenoptera, Formicidae.